AUACGUAGGUGGCAAGCGUUAUCCGGAUUUACUGGGUGUAAAGGGCGUGUAGGCGGGACAGCAAGUCAGAUGUGAAAAUUAUGGGCUCAACCCAUAACCUGCAUUUGAAACUGUUGUUCUUGAGUGAUGGAGAGGCAGGCGGAAUUCCGUGUGUAGCGGUGAAAUGCGUAGAUAUACGGAGGAACACCAGUGGCGAAGGCGACUUACUGGACUGUAACUGACGCUGAGUCACGAAAGCGUGGGUAGC
RNAcentral lists this ribosomal RNA (247 nucleotides) under uncultured bacterium. RNAcentral describes it as "partial 16S ribosomal RNA". It matches the Rfam family "Bacterial small subunit ribosomal RNA", at positions 523 to 769 of the family's 1533-position model. The record is from RNAcentral.